This 425-nucleotide ribosomal RNA is filed under the name uncultured bacterium. Its description in RNAcentral is "partial 16S ribosomal RNA". It matches the Rfam family "Bacterial small subunit ribosomal RNA", at positions 354 to 796 of the family's 1533-position model. The record is from RNAcentral.
GUGGGGAAUCUUGCGCAAUGGGCGAAAGCCUGACGCAGCCAUGCCGCGUGAAUGAUGAAGGUCUUAGGAUUGUAAAAUUCUUUCACCGGGGACGAUAAUGACGGUACCCGGAGAAGAAGCUCCGGCUAACUUCGUGCCAGCAGCCGCGGUAAUACGAAGGGGGCUAGCGUUGCUCGGAAUUACUGGGCGUAAAGGGCGCGUAGGCGGACAGCUUAGUCAGAGGUGAAAGCCCAGGGCUCAACCUUGGAAUUGCCUUUGAUACUGGCUGUCUUGAGUUUGGGAGAGGUGAGUGGAACUCCGAGUGUAGAGGUGAAAUUCGUAGAUAUUCGGAAGAACACCAGUAGCGAAGGCGACUCACUGGCCCAAUACUGACGCUGAGGCGCGAAAGCGUGGGGAGCAAACAGGAUUAGAUACCCUAGUAGUCC